UGGCUCGAUUGACGCUGGCGGCAUGCUUAAUACAUGCAAGUCGAACGGUAACAGGCCGCGGGGAUCNNUUCGGGGUGAACUUGGCGCUGACGAGUGGCGAACGGGUGAGUAAUGCUUAGGAAUCUACCCUGUAGUGGGGGACAACCCGAGGAAACUCGGGCUAAUACCGCGUAAGCUCUACGGAGGAAAGCGGGGGAUCUUUGGACCUCGCGCUAUUGGAUGAGCCUAAGUCGGAUUAGCUUGUUGGUAGGGUAAUGGCCUACCAAGGCGACGAUCCGUAGCUGGUCUGAGAGGACGACCAGCCACACUGGGACUGAGACACGGCCCAGACUCCUACGGGAGGCAGCAGUAGGGAAUAUUGGACAAUGGGCGCAAGCCUGAUCCAGCAAUGCCGCGUGUGUGAAGAAGGCCUGCGGGUUGUAAAGCACUUUCAGUGGGGAAGACAAACUCGAGGUUAAUACCCUCGGGUCUCGACGUUACCCACAGAAGAAGCACCGGCCAACUCCGUGCCAGCAGCCGCGGUAAUACGGAGGGUGCGAGCGUUAAUCGGAAUUACUGGGCGUAAAGCGCACGCAGGUGGCUGGGUCAGUCGGAUGUGAAAUCCCCGGGCUUAACCUGGGAAUUGCAUUCGAAACUGCCCGGCUAGAGUAUGGGAGAGGGAAGUGGAAUUCCCGGUGUAGCGGUGAAAUGCAUAGAUAUCGGAAGGAACACCAGUGGCGAAGGCGGCUUCCUGGCCCAAUACUGACACUCAGGUGCGAAAGCGUGGGGAGCAAACAGGAUUAGAUACCCUGGUAGUCCACGCCGUAAACGAUGAGAACUAGAUGUCGGGGGGGAUUAGCCCCUCGGUGUCGCAGCUAACGCAUUAAGUUCUCCGCCUGGGGAGUACGCCGGCAACGGUAAAACUCAAAGGAAUUGACGGGGACCCGCACAAGCGGUGGAGCA
RNAcentral lists this ribosomal RNA (942 nucleotides) under uncultured bacterium. RNAcentral's name for it is "bacterial SSU rRNA". It matches the Rfam family "Bacterial small subunit ribosomal RNA", at positions 20 to 939 of the family's 1533-position model. The record is from RNAcentral.